GGGAAGCAACGGGACAUGAACACAUAUAUUAGUAUCAUACAAGUAACAAAGGGGGAGAAAGAAUGCUAUGACAGAGACAGAAAUAUAUCACAACACAAACAUAUAUAUUUUCACAUGAACGUAAUUAACACAGGGACUACAGAACACACAUAAGCACACCAUGAUCCAGGUUACAUAAGUAAACAAAUUAUACAAGCCACUUACUAGUAUCACAGAUCAACAGAGUAGUAUUGAACAACUAAAAAUAGAUAGUAGAAGUAACUAGUACAGGAAACAAGUACUCUUAGAAUCUGAAUGUUACAGACUACACGUCACAAACUACAGAAAAUUCAGAGAAGAGAAGGAGAAAGAGAGAUGGCAGCAGGAGAUUAGAGAAAGAAGAAGCAGCAACUGGGGCAUGGAGAGAGGAGCAGCAGCAGUACGGGAUUCAGAGAAGAGCAACAGAGAGGGAGAGAGCAGCAGCGUGGUGAGGAUUCAGAGGUGAACAGCAGCAAGGUUAGGAGAAGGAGAAGGGCAGCAGCGAGGUAAGGAGAAGAGUAGCAGCAGCAGAUUGAGAAGGGAGGAAAAAGAAGCAGCAAGCAGCGGAAGGAGGAGGAGGAGGAGGAAGAGCAGCAGGGCAAGAGAAGAAGGAGGCAGCAGCAGGAGGUUGGAGAAGGGAGAAGCAGCAGUAGGAAGAGAAGAAGGACCAGGGACGUGGCAAGGGAGAUGCAGCAGUAGAGGCGUGGGGAAGAAGAGAAGCAGCAGGGGCGAAGCAAGAGGGAAGAGUGGAAGUGGUGGAUGGCGCCGGCGUGGGUUGCUGGUGGUUCGGGGUUCAGGUGGCGGCGCUGAUGGUGGAUGGUGCAGCGGUGGCGCUGGGUGAUGGACGGAUGGAUGGCGAUGGUGAAGUGGUGGAGUAGCAGCUAGUGGUGGGGGGUGCUGUUGGCGCGGUGGCGCGCCGCCACGCCGGCCUGGCCGCGGCGGUGGCCGGUGGUGGAGAAGGUGGGAUGAGGGAGAGAGAGAGAUAUGCCAGGCCCAAAAGGGGAUCGGGGCUGCUGCUAGGGAUUUUGACCCCUC
Molecule: ribosomal RNA, 1053 nt
Filed under: Triticum aestivum (bread wheat)
Lineage: Eukaryota; Viridiplantae; Streptophyta; Magnoliopsida; Poales; Poaceae
Description: partial small subunit ribosomal RNA
Source: RNAcentral